GAAGGCAGCCUCAGGACCAGCCUAAAAGAAAACAAUGUUUUUGAUACACCUUACAACAGGGAGGCCAGAGACUGACUGUCUGCAAGAAGACAUUCAUGAGACUGACCAAGGCAUCUGUCGUCGACCUGCCCUUUCUGCAUACAAAUUGUCUUGGGUCAAGCUUGUGGCCGACGUCUUCCAUUAUCCAAUCGGUGGCAUGGGUUAAUUCACACUGUUGAUUAAAAUAGGUUACGGCUCAGAUCUUCCAGUCUGGAUGACCAGACGACGGGUCCGGAACGGCGAUCCCAAUGCAGACAUCUGCUGCCCAGCCUUGGAGUGGACUUCUUCAUUUGCAGACACCCUGACCGGGUUGACCACCAGAGGGGGAUUGCAACGGCGGUCCCCCAACCCGGACAUCCCCUGGCCAUUCCUGUGAUGCUUUGCAGCUCCCAAAAAUCCUACCAAGGUAGACCACCAGAGGGGGGACUGCAACAGCGAUCACCAACUGGACAUCUGCUGCCCAGCCUUGGAGCAGACUUCUUCAUUCACAGAAACCUUACCCGGGUCAACGACCAGAGGGGGACCACAAUGAU
RNAcentral lists this long non-coding RNA (572 nucleotides) under Salmo salar (Atlantic salmon). RNAcentral describes it as "lncRNA (ENSSSAG00000120332.1)". Lineage: Eukaryota; Metazoa; Chordata; Actinopteri; Salmoniformes; Salmonidae. The record is from RNAcentral.